UAAUAAGUGUUUUAUGAGCACUUUUAAAUCCAUAUCCACCUUGUGUGCAAUGUCAGUCGAUCUUCUUCAUGGAGAUCGAUCCAAACAUCAACCUUUAUCUUUUAACUCUUUGUCUGCAAAAAUAUUAUAUGAAUAUAAACAAUUCACAAAUA
This 152-nucleotide unclassified non-coding RNA is filed under the name soil metagenome. RNAcentral's name for it is "partial internal transcribed spacer 1". The record is from RNAcentral.